Molecule: ribosomal RNA, 585 nt
Filed under: Triticum aestivum (bread wheat)
Lineage: Eukaryota; Viridiplantae; Streptophyta; Magnoliopsida; Poales; Poaceae
Description: partial small subunit ribosomal RNA
Source: RNAcentral
AUGAUCAUCGAUGACAACUGUGUUCUUGUCCCUCCUUCAAACAUCGGGACCCAUCUUGGCCGCCUGCUAGAUCACGCUGAUGGGACAGAUGUGUCAUUCAUCGUUGACAAUGAGACAUUCCAGGCUCACCGAGCAGUGCUUGCUGCCCGCUCGCCGGUCUUCAGAGCAGAGCUCUUCGGCCCCAUGUCUGAAGCUACAAUGCCAUCCAUCACACUGCACGACAUCACACCUGCAACAUUCAAAGUUAUGCUCCGGUUCAUAUACACAGAUGAAUUGCCCCUAGAAGACGAGCUUGAGGACUCUUCCACCGAGAUGUUCCAGAACCUGCUUGCUGCGGCCGAUCGGUAUGCACUGGACAGACUGAAGAUUGUUUGCGCCCAGAAGUUGUGGGAUAAAGUGUCGGUAGAUACAGUUGCAACUAUCUUAGCUUGGGCUGAAACCUACAACUGCCAGGAGUUGAAGAACAGGUGCAUUGACUUCUUUGUGGUGGAGGAAAAUUUCAAGAAGGCCAUCUUCACCGAUGGUUAUGCGUUGCUGGUUCUGAAAUUCCCAGAGAUCAUUGCUGAGAUGAAAAAGAGGGUUUAG